Molecule: ribosomal RNA, 677 nt
Filed under: uncultured archaeon
Lineage: Archaea
Description: bacterial SSU rRNA
Rfam family: Archaeal small subunit ribosomal RNA
Source: RNAcentral
CCCUAUGGGGUGCAGCAGGCGAGAAAACUUUGCAAUGUGCGAAAGCACGACAAGGUUAAUCCGAGUGGUUUGUGCUAAACGAACCUUUUGUCGGUCCUAGAAACACCGAUGAAUAAGGGGUGGGCAAGUUCUGGUGUCAGCCGCCGCGGUAAAACCAGCACCUCAAGUGGUCAGGAUGAUUAUUGGGCCUAAAGCAUCCGUAGCCGGCUCUGUAAGUUUUCGGUUAAAUCUGUACGCUCAACGUACAGGCUGCCGGGAAUACUGCAGAGCUAGGGAGUGGGAGAGGUAGACGGUACUCGGUAGGAAGGGGUAAAAUCCUUUGAUCUAUUGAUGACCACCUGUGGCGAAGGCGGUCUACCAGAACACGUCCGACGGUGAGGGAUGAAAGCUGGGGGAGCAAACCGGAUUAGAUACCCGGGUAGUCCCAGCUGUAAACUAUGCAAACUCAGUGAUGCAUUGGCUUGUGGCCAAUGCAGUGCUGCAGGGAAGCCGUUAAGUUUGCCGCCUGGGAAGUACGUACGCAAGUAUGAAACUUAAAGGAAUUGGCGGGGGAGCACCACAAGGGGUGAAGCCUGCGGUUCAAUUGGAGUCAACGCCAGAAAUCUUACCCGGAGAGACAGCAGAACGAAGGUCAAGCUGAAGACUUUACCAGACAAGCUGAGAGGUGGUGCAUGGCC